RNAcentral lists this ribosomal RNA (399 nucleotides) under uncultured bacterium. RNAcentral's name for it is "bacterial SSU rRNA". It matches the Rfam family "Bacterial small subunit ribosomal RNA", at positions 29 to 416 of the family's 1533-position model. The record is from RNAcentral.
AACGAACGCUGGCGGCGCGCCUAAUACAUGCAAGUCGAGCGAGAAGACGUAGCAAUACGUUUGUAAAGCGGCGAACGGGUGAGGAAUACAUGGGUAACCUACCCUCGAGUGGGGAAGUAACUAGCCGAAAGGUUAGCUAAUACCGCGUACGCUCCUUGGACUUCGGUUCAGGGAGGAAAGCGAUACCGUGGGUAUCGCGCUCUUGGAUGGGCUCAUGUCCUAUCAGCUUGUUGGUGAGGUAACGGCUCACCAAGGCUUCGACGGGUAGCUGGUCUGAGAGGACGAUCAGCCACACUGGCACUGCGACACGGGCCAGACUCCUACGGGAGGCAGCAGUAAGGAAUAUUGCGCAAUGGGCGAAAGCCUGACGCAGCGACGCCGCGUGGGGGAGUGAAGGUC